RNAcentral lists this unclassified non-coding RNA (472 nucleotides) under Hevea brasiliensis (rubber tree). The record is from RNAcentral. Lineage: Eukaryota; Viridiplantae; Streptophyta; Magnoliopsida; Malpighiales; Euphorbiaceae.
CUUGCCUUGCCUUGCCUUGCCUUGGCAACCCAGAAAGAAAUUCCACCACUCAACGUGAAACCAAUACCCAUAUCUCUCUUUUCUUUCUUGCUUAUUGAUCUGAACUUGAUUCAGCUCUUGCUUUGCUUGCUUGCUCAGCUUAUCGGCCACCGCCCAACCCAAGAGCCCUGUCAGAAGAACAACCGAUUAGAACCCCCACUACCCAAAAAAGGGAGAGGAGUUCAUUAAAAGCUCUCCGGUGAUAGGGAAAGCGACACAGUAUUAGAGACCUGGCGGUUGGGGGCAUUUCCACUGUUAUUUUUUUGGGUCUUAAAUGCCUGCCUUUGCUCAUUAAAGCUCGUGCCAUUCUUUGCAAAGAGUUGCUGAUAAGUGUUAGGCUGUUAGCUUAAUCUCGUCGCAAAAUAUGGAAAUUAAAAUCAUAAAAAGAUUUCAUUUUUUUCUUUAGAAUAUACAGAGAGAGAGAGAGAGAGAG